ACGAACGCUGGCGGCGGGCUUAACACCUGCAAGGCGAACGGAAAGGCCCUGCUUUUGUGGGGUUCUCGGGUGGCGAACGGGUGAGUAACACGGGAGUAACCUUCCCUUGACUUUUGGAUAACUUCAGGAAACUGGGGCUAAUACCGGGUAAGAGCUCCUGCUGCAUGGUGGGGGUUGGAAAGUUUCGGCGGUUGGGGAUGGACUCGCGGCUUAUCAGCUUGUUGGUGGGGUAGUGGCUUACCAAGGCUUUGACGGGUAGCCGGCCUGAGAGGGUGACCGGCCACAUUGGGACUGAGAUACGGCCCAGACUCCUACGGGAGGCAGCAGUGGGGAAUAUUGCACAAUGGGCGGAAGCCUGAUGCAGCAACGCCGCGUGCGGGAUGACGGCCUUCGGGUUGUAAACCGCUUUCGCCUGUGACGAAGCGUGAGUGACGGUAAUGGGUAAAGAAGCACCGGCUAACUACGUG
RNAcentral lists this ribosomal RNA (467 nucleotides) under uncultured bacterium. RNAcentral describes it as "partial 16S ribosomal RNA". It matches the Rfam family "Bacterial small subunit ribosomal RNA", at positions 29 to 507 of the family's 1533-position model. The record is from RNAcentral.